This 8712-nucleotide long non-coding RNA is filed under the name Zea mays. RNAcentral describes it as "long non-coding RNA (ZMAY_LNC002737)". Lineage: Eukaryota; Viridiplantae; Streptophyta; Magnoliopsida; Poales; Poaceae. The record is from RNAcentral.
AAAAUAGUUAAAUAAUUACAUCAUAUGACGACAAUGAUCCAGCAACCAUAGUUGACUAGGAGACGAUGGCCUAGACCUCUCACGAACUCAUCGCGACAUCCUUCAUGCUCCUCAUCUUGCGGUACCUGUCCUUUACCUAGGGGCUGUGAGUAUAGCAAGGGUGAGCUCACAUACGUUCAAUGCUCAAAAAGUUGUGGGAAUAAUGUGCAUGAGCUCUCCUACGGUGGGGCUCAUGUGAAGUGUAAAGUUUACCAAAGGAGAUGGUUAAAGCUGAGUGUUGCUUUUAAAGUUGGUUAAAGUUUUAUUAGCAGUUACUAAGUAUAAGUAAAUAUCAACUCAAUUAAAUAAGAGAUCACAAUUAAAAAUAACACCCACAAUGCAAUACAAAUGACAGAUUAAGUUUAGUUCCAUAAGUUAAUCCUACGAGAGACUUGAGUCGCUCUUGACCGUGAGCAUGACUGAUGUACCAGUUUUACACUCUGCAGAGGUUGCACAUCUUUACCCACAAGACAUGUUUCCCGAUUAGCCAGGGUUAGCUAGACCCUUAGACACUUCCAAGGUGAAUGGCUAGGGAUCCACUGCGAGGCUUUUCCAAAGUUCCACUAGUUCGAGAAAACCCGUUAUAGAUUCAGGAAGAAGGAAACAUAGGAAUCCCUCGUCCGAAAAGCCAUCGCAGCAGUUCGACCCGAGGACCUCCCUAUACUCUGCAGCGACGUUUCCCUGCUUGCCCCUUUUAGGUAAGGUAAUCUCUCCCUACUUUCCUAAUUACUUAGCCAAGGGCAUCCCAUUCCACCCUUGUGAUAGCACUGUUAUCUCAAGUUAAGCUCCAUGUUCCAAUUAUCACAAUAAUCUUGUCAUGAACAAUAAUUAAACCACAACAAAAUUGGAACAUGAUCAUAAUUCAAAUGUAACAUUAAUCCCAAAACCAGGUAGAGCAAUAGCAAGUCUACCCAUAGUUCACUUGUUUGCAAAGUGUGGGGUACACAAAACUAGGUAAACCUAUUGGGUCCCAUCAAAUUAACCUGAGCAUGACACAGUGAUUAACAGGAAUAUUAUUAGGUAAAUAAGAGUGAUCAAGGGCACAACUUGCCUGUGACUUGAGAUCACAGGUACUUCACCAAAUUGGUCUUCGGUGACUCGUGACCACACUGCUACUCAUAGCAAUACAUACAGAUAGACAAAGAGUACAUAACAAAACAAUACACCAAACAUGGGAACAAACAACGUAAGUUAUAACUUGAUUAGAGGUUAUAUUUUAGUCAGAUUGUAACUAUAGCCAGGUUAACUUUGUAAUCCUGACUAAUCUACUAACUAUAGGUUAAACAAAUAUAUAUUUUGGAAAAUAUGUUACAUGAUAAAAUAAGGUUACUAAAGUGUAAGCAAUAUUAAUACAAGUCUAACACAACUUGAAAACGUAGGGGAUAUGAAUUUUUUAAGUUUGUAGGUUUAUUUAUAUACUAGAAAUCCAUUUUCUUGUAUUACUCUAUGAAUUUCCUAGGGUUGUGGACUACGGAUAAUAUUUCUAAAGAGUACAUGUGCUAUUCCGAAUAAUACUGAACCCGAUCGUAAGGUUCUUUGAACUGGUAGGACUGCGGGUUGGUUUUGAAUAAGUUGAGGGGCUUUUUAGCAUAUUGACCAUGCCGAAUGGGUAUCCUCAAUCUUGAGCUGCCUGAUCUAAAUCUGGGGGUUCGGAUUAGAUCCCCGUUUUUAUGAUACAGUACGCACUAUGGGCCACCCGAUCAGAGAUCGACGCACCAAAUUAGAUUGAUUUUGACUCAAAACGGUACGCGCCUCCUGACCACUGGAUCCGUGAUCCACGGCCCCAAAUCCCCCUUAACGAACCGAUAGGCUCAUUCUAAUUAGGGCUGAUCACUUGAGAUCCCACACCCACUACUUCGUCUUCUACCCCCAACAAUAGAGCGCGGCGAGCCCCAAUUGCCCGCGGCGGCGCAAACGCCGGUGAGGUACUCACUGGUCCGCUGGUGCUCCAACACUCAAUCCCGAUGGUGCUACGCAUAGAGGAGGUCAAGGUGAACCUAUGGGUGGCUUCCUUACCCUCGAUUACGUCGCGAUGAUCCCUUCCCGCGGAGUAGUGCGGAUCAUAACGACGCCACGGACCCUGGCAAGCGAUUGGCCAUCACCCGGUGUCGUUCACGCGCUUGAUUGGAACAUGCACUAGACUCCACAACCUCCAGUGAACCUUCCCUAUUCCUCUUUGAUGGUUGAAUUCCAGCGAGACGCGGAAGAGUUCGUGAAGGAUCUCUCUCCCCUUUCUCUCUCUCAGGUGCGUGGUGAAGCCUGGCGAUGGCGAUGGUGUGCUCGGUGGUCAUCAAGGAGGCAGGGUUCGGUUUAUAUGGAUACGAGGAGAGCGGCCCAGGGCGUAUUCGGUGGGGCAAAAAUCCAGACGAACUUCAAAGGAUUUGUUACAGCGAGCGCGAAAGAUUCCGCCAAUAUCUCGUUCUGUUGGGAUGAACUCAUGGCGAGGAUGAAGGGCUAAGCACGCGGGUCCACGCGUUGGUGUAAGCUAUAGCACGACGGCUGGUGCGACUGGUCUGUGGGGUCCACCCGCCAGCGGAUCCAAGCGCGUGCGUGAGCAGUAGUGGCUAGCAGACGGGACCCACGCGCAACCGUUGAGAACUACGAUAUCAUGGAUCACCAGAUCCGCUCCCUUUCCUCCUGUCAGCAGUAGAGGCGCAAGAAGAUGUAGAGAACACGUCUCCCUUCCCAUAAGCACGACAGAGGAAACACACGAGACUAUGGAUAUAGGGUUGGGCCUCUGGCCUCUUUCUGAUCUCUAUCAUAUGAAGGGGUGUACAUGUUCCUUAUAUAGAGAUGUGAGACCCCUCAGGGGUAAAGCAGGUAUUUGCCCACAUAACACUAACUAGGGUUACUUAACACUCCCCCUUGGGCGAAUACCGCGACCAACACAUGCCUCGUUAAAACUUCGAAAAACCCAAUGGGAAAAAUGUGGAGAAAGAGUGCAUGGUGAUACAAAUUGCAUUUGCACUUUGUUGCCUCGUUAAAAACCUCAUGUGAGAAACUUCAAGAAAACUCACCAAGAUAAAAAGAGUACAGCAGCUGUCAUCGGGACAGAUUUCGAUCCUCUGGGAUCUAGAUUCUAUCGAAUCUUCUACAAGGGCUAACUUUAGAAAUGUGCUCCCCUGAUCCUUGCAAAUCCGUAUCAAUAAGGCAAAACAUUUUCUUCUGAAAGUAUAUGCACAUAAAGAUUUAGCGAACGGAUUGCAUAUCAUUGCAAGGACUAUUUCAGGAACUUUACCUCUACUCACUUCUAGGAUAUACGAGCUAAGUGCACGUAUCAAUAUAAAUAAGCCACUUUGAUUGAUGGUGUUUGAUUGACUGGAUCUAUAUAUUUGAUAGAAAGUUCCAUAAAGGUUCACAUAUUGAUCAUCAAGCUCAUGCCUUCAGUGCAUAGAAUAUGACAUUUAUUGUCUCACGAAUGUGAUCAAUAUAAGCAUUCGCUCCCCCUGACGAUGACAUCUGUCAAAGUCGUUAUCCCUCAUAACUCAAGCAUAUUCUUCAAGAUAUAUGUCUCAUUGUUCAUCUGGAAUAACGAGAAUGGAUGAGGUUGGGGUGCUAUCAUUUUCUAUCUUACACCACAAUUUAUACAUAAUUGUGCAAAGCAAAUAACAUGUCCUUCAAUAGGACUUAGGGGAUAAUAUAGUUGCAAUAGUACAUAUUCUAAAUAUGACACAUCGCUCGAGGCAUUCAUCCAUUGCAACAUCUAUGAUGGUGUAACAAAAGUCCAUAUAAGAUCAUAAUCCAUCAGGGAUUUUUCAUCGAUUAGAUACAUCGUUAUAGUCUGUCAUUCUGGCACAAUGGGGAUAUUUUGCCAGUAACACCUAAACCUUAUAGGUUUCUGCCAUCAUGGCUUUAGAGGAUACCGUAAUUCCACAUCUAGUGGAAAAUACCAUGAGUAAAGAUCGUGGAAUGCACAUGUGCUUAUUCGGUGAACUUCAAGUCCUUUGGUACCUCAUCUUAUUCCUUUUCCGGGUCUAUAUGGGUCUUUAUCCCUUUAUAGGGAUUAUCAAACUUUGGUGUUUAACACAGACUUUAUUUCUUCUGAAAAAGUUCCAUCAAGGAACUAUAAUCUCAUCUAGGAGAUAUUCUCUCUACAUAGGAGAGUGAUCAUUCAUCAGGAAUGUAUUAUCUAGUAUGAGAUUUAUAUGUUGCAUAUUUAUAAUUCAAAGAUAUGAGUCCUCGUAGGAUCUCAUGCGGAUCUUCAGAAUCCUAUUAACUACAUAUUUUAAUUCAUGCCAUUUGCCAGAUAUAUUACAUAGUGGAACAUUGUUUAUUCGACACAUAUGUGGGAUGUGUCUCUCACAAGACCACUUGAACCAUCGCAUUCACCACACAUUAUUUCAAUAGUGCCCAUAAAUGUCCGAACUUCAAGCUCGUGACUUUCAUUUUUGCGAUUAUUGGUUCAGCCUCGAUUGCAUUUAUCAAUGACCCGAUAAGAGAGCUUAAAGCACUCAUGCCUAGGACUUUGUUUUGGAUCCCUUUGCAAUCUAUAGAGGCAAGAUAGGUGUCGACACAUUUGUCUCCCACAUUUAAUAAUGAUCUCUGCCAUUUCCUAAAACGAAAGAUUCAUUGUUCUAUAUUCCCAGCACAAUGAUAUUGCGCGCAUUGCUAGGAACUUCAUCAUCAAGAUGAACCUCUUCGUGAGGCAAAUCACCAGCAGGGCGAGUUCAUCAGAGGAGAGUUAUUACAGACCACGUGAAUCUGCAAUCAGAACAUAUGCUUUGACUAAGGCCAACGGAUCAUAUUCGCAGGCGUCCUCGAGAAUAGAUCAAAUGCCAAUAAGUCAAAUGUGGAUAUGAUAUUAAUCUCGGGUAUAUCCACAUCUACAUCAGGUAGAAGCAUUCAAACCAAUAUGGUUACUCCUCAACGAUUUCUGGCAAACUCCAUAUACACAGGAGUACACUCCGAACGACGGGUUCAUUUGGCUUUUGUGCGUUUAAUAGAAUAUUGAGGCAUUACACUAUAUGGGCAUUCCUCCCCCUAAUGCCGAGAUAUUCUAAAAAGCAUACAGAUAAAAUCCCCAACUACAAUUAUCCAGUUGUGGCCAAUGUAUGCUAUUGCUUGUGGUGAUUUAUUUGGGAAAUCUUACACACAUUACAGAUAGGGGUUUUAUGCAGUGAGCUUUGGACUUAGAUUAAUGUAGUGGCAUGAAUACUACAUAUUUGUCCUUCAUCGUGAAGGAUUAGUCUCAACUUCCAGCAAGACAAGCAACAACAAGUUGCUUCAUGUUUACAUUUCUGCAAACUUAUUGUUGUUAUUACCAAAUGCAAAGUCAAUAAUUAAGAUUUAGACUAACAUGCACAACGCUAUUUUAUCCAUAAGGAUCCUUCAUGGGCUCAUGAAUACCAUUCGUCGUUUGGAGCCAUUAGUUGACUUCAGAUCAACAAGUAAAAUGACCAUCAGGGUCUAACGCUCACAAAGACAUUCACUGGUUGCAUUGUUUGUUUAAGCACAUAGGAAAAUAUGGUGUAGAUAAUGGUAGUAAAGUGCACAGCAUCAGGCCAAUGCUGCCAAGCAAAUAUUUUUAUAUGCAUAGAUAUAUAGUCCAGCUCGUUUUUAUCACUGCCCAUGGUUUACCCAAUUACUCAUACUGUUCUGAAAUUGGGUAUCAAUUUGUGCAACAUUUUUAGGUAUUAUGAUUUUGAGAGAGAACUUAUAACAAUAGUUAAUAAAUUGUGAUGUUGCCAGCAGGGCAAACAUUUCUCCUCAUAUUAUAUACCAAUUUGUUCUAUAAAGCAUUAUUUCGAUCUCUUCGUUGUUCGGCAAAAAGAGAAGCUUUGGAAUAGAACAGACAAGGCCAAGAAUUCAUUUUUAUCUGGGAAAAACCACCUGAUUGCUAAGCUUUCGAUUAAGCAAAUGGUGAUAAUUGCUUGGCAAUAGCGAAACAAGACCGUUAUCCAUCUGGGACUAGGCUUCAACAACAGAUAGUAGUGCUCUAAUAAGAAGAAAUCAUCAGGAGUAGAGAGGAGACAACAGGUCUCUACAAGAUCUUCAUAUUUCUAUCACAAAUUAUCAUCACUAAUAGUCUAGUGGUCAAGACAUAUGACUCUUCUGGCUCCGAGGACCAAGGACAUAUUAAUGUCUAAUUUAGCUUCAAGCUCUGUGGUGAUGUGGGAUUUCAUAGCUAGUUUCUACUCUUCUUACUCCUAGUAGAUCAGAGAUAGAUUACGGUAAGCAUUUUAAAGGUGGAAUCCAAUGUAGUUCUGCUACAUAAACUCCAGGUAUAUGUCCAUUCAGGACUGACCUUUACCGUUUGGCUUAAAAGUAUAUCAUACCAAUCAAAGGACUAUACCUAGUCAAUUCAGCGACUAUAGUAUGUACAAUUCUGAGAGAUGUAUGCAACACAAGCAUAGAGGUCCUAAACAGGACGAGUAAAGUGGUUCGACAGGAACACACAAUGGUUUUUCACACAAACAUUGUGAAAAAUUUCUCAGAAUUACCUUUCAAUGUACUCGCAACUUCAUGUUGCUAAGGUACUAGCCAUUUAUCUCAAAGUUCGCUUCAUGUCGUUCAGCGACAAAUAGCAAUGUGCCAACAUCUGGUGAGCAAUGUAUGACUGAGAUUCUAGCAUUUAUUCAUCUGAUAAGGUCUUAUUGCUUAUUAAUUAAAUCUCAAGUUGUGAUGUUUUUUGUGCCAAAAAGGCUUUGAUGCAUUAAUAUUGAAUUUCUUCAGGUUACUUUGGGUAAAACUUUAUGCACGAGGAGAGAGCAGAGAUUUAACUUAUCUGUGUUUUAUUGUAUUUCGAUUUAAUUUCCCAGAUUUAAUAUUGUUGUUAUGGCCACUUGGCGACAUAUAUAUAAAUAUACGAUGCCAUAACACAAUCAAAUAAAAAAUAGAGCCAUGCUGUGACUUCAGAGGUUUGAACAACCCACCACAAUCCACGCGAGUACAAGCUCUAGCGUAUCUGGUGUCAACGCAUGUGCGGCCAUCAGGGCCAUGACAACACAACAAGCCUCCGUAACAAGCGUGAGAGGCGCAAUUAUGUCUCGGUAGUCGGUGUACACGAUAAAUCCACACAGUGCGCAACAGGCACAAUUGUGGCUCAAUGAUUGCGACACAUGGAUAGUGCCUACAGGGCCUGCGAAAAAUGUGUGACUCGGCUAUGGCGGUCCGACUCAACGGGAGUGGUCCGAUUAAGCAAGAGCGUGACAUAGCAAUCACAUGACGCAGCCAAGUUCGAACGACACAAAUGAUGCGUCGUGUUGCCAGGGCGCAGCCAAUGGUUAGCCAAUGCUAAAACUCAGCCGAUUAAUAACGCAACAUCGCGCGUGUCCGAUUACCCACUAUACAAUUUAAUCGUUCUGCGUGAGCCUGAAAGCUCAACAUAAUAUAAAUAUUUAUAACGAUUUGAGUAUGCAUAGUAUAGUCUUCACACAUUUUAAUAAUUUUUGAUAAUUAUCUACUACGAUAAAUAAUGCAGAAAAUCAUACUAGAAUUAAUGUAUGAGCAUAAGCACAUCAGGUGUAUGAAGACAAUUUCCUUUAUUCAAGCAUUUGUUUUUCUAUUAAUUAUUUACCACAGGAAAUAAUUAAUUAAAGAUUAAAAGUGUAACAUGAAUCAUGAUUACUACAGGAGUAACGUACUACAAGUGCAUGCGUCCUACCACUCAUCAAAAGCCAUCAAGAAAAAAACGAGCCAGCGAGGGAUGCGGCCCAAGACAUCAAUGAAAACGCUUGCAUGCGUCCCCACGCGGAUGGUCUCCGAUCCGACUUUCUCGAGGAGCGCGCAUGGAAGCGUUUUCAACCAUACGUUCUUAUCUGCGCCUGAGAAAAUGGAUGGUGAAUGCAAGCGCUCCUAUCGGUCAUGACCGGCAGACGGCUGCUGGCGUGGCGCAUGGCCACCAGUGAGGCGAGGUGCUGCACCGGCGCGAGCGCGGGCCUGUCAGGCUCCAUUGCGGGCGCUUCUGCCGCGGGCGUUGCACCACCACGACGACGGCGGUAACAAGUUCGUCGCGCAUGGAUCGUAGGCUAUGCAUAAUAGCAUAUCAAAAACAGUAAAUAUACCGCUCGAUCGCGUAGAGGGAAAAUCGAAGCCUGUCGCGUAUGACAGUUCGGCUAGGCCGGAGGACCUGCCGGCUUGACGGAGAGUUGAUGCAGAUCUGAUCCCGCAGCAACAUCGAGGUAGAGCGUGCUGAUAACGUGUUGAGAACUACGUUACCACGGAUCACCAGAUCCGCUCCCUUCCUUCCCGUCAGCAGUAGAGGCGCAAGAAGAUGUAGAGAACACGUCUCCCUUCUCAUAAGCACGACAGAGGAAACACACGAGACACUGGAUAUAGGGUUGUGCCUCUGACCUCUUUCUGAUCUCUAUCAUAUGAAGGAGUGUACAGGUUCCUUAUAUAGAGAUGUGAGACCCCUCAGGGGUAAAGCAGUUAUUUGCCCACAUAACCCUAACUAGGGUUACUUAACAACAACAACGGUGGCGCCCAGACGUGCGUGCGAGCGGUAAUGGCUGAGGGGCCCAUUCGUUAGUGACAGCACAGAAGGGAAGAAGGGGGCCGACGUGGGUGAAUGCGGCCCACCAGGUGAAUCCAAAAAGGAAAGGGCGAAUUUGGGCUGAGAUAAAUACAGCUCAUGCAAAUCCUGCUCUACCCUUUUAUUUUUUAUUUUCAGUUUUCCUUUCUAAUUUGAAAUUUUCAAAUUCAAUCUAGUUUGAGGUUCUGAAAUUUAAGCAU